UACGAAGGUCCCAAGCGUUAUCCGGAUUUAUUGGGUUUAAAGGGUGCGUAGGCGGACUAUUAAGUCAGUGGUGAAAGCCCCCAGCCUAACUGGGGAACUGCCAUUGAUACUGAUGGUCUUGAGUACAUUUGAGGUGGGCGGAAUGUGUCAUGUAGCGGUGAAAUGCUUAGAUAUCGUCAAGAACACCGAUAGUGUAGACAGCUAACUAAGCUCUAACUGACGCUGAGUCACGAAAGUGUGGAGAUCAAACAGG
This 253-nucleotide ribosomal RNA is filed under the name uncultured bacterium. Its description in RNAcentral is "partial 16S ribosomal RNA". It matches the Rfam family "Bacterial small subunit ribosomal RNA", at positions 524 to 776 of the family's 1533-position model. The record is from RNAcentral.